UGGGGAAUUUUGGACAAUGGGGGAAACCCUGAUCCAGCCAUCCCGCGUGUGCGAUGAAGGCCUUCGGGUUGUAAAGCACUUUUGGCAGGAAAGAAACGUCAUGGGUUAAUACCCCGUGAAACUGACGGUACCUGCAGAAUAAGCACCGGCUAACUACGUGCCAGCAGCCGCGGUAAUACGUAGGGUGCAAGCGUUAAUCGGAAUUACUGGGCGUAAAGCGUGCGCAGGCGGUUCGGAAAGAAAGAUGUGAAAUCCCAGAGCUCAACUUUGGAACUGCCUUUUUAACUACCGGGCUAGAGUGUGUCAGAGGGAGGUGGAAUUCCGCGUGUAGCAGUGAAAUGCGUAGAUAUGCGGAGGAACACCGAUGGCGAAGGCCGCCUCCUGGGAUAACACUGACGCUCAUGCACGAAAGCGUGGGGAGCAAACAGG
This 429-nucleotide ribosomal RNA is filed under the name Acidobacteriota bacterium. RNAcentral describes it as "Acidobacteria bacterium partial 16S ribosomal RNA". It matches the Rfam family "Bacterial small subunit ribosomal RNA", at positions 355 to 776 of the family's 1533-position model. The record is from RNAcentral. Lineage: Bacteria; Pseudomonadati; Acidobacteriota.